This 559-nucleotide ribosomal RNA is filed under the name uncultured bacterium. Its description in RNAcentral is "bacterial SSU rRNA". It matches the Rfam family "Bacterial small subunit ribosomal RNA", at positions 120 to 674 of the family's 1533-position model. The record is from RNAcentral.
GGGAAACUGCCCGAUGGAGGGGGAUAACUACUGGAGACGGUAGCUAAUACCGCAUAACGUCUUCGGACCAAAGUGGGGGACCUUCGGGCCUCACACCAUCGGAUGUGCCCAGAUGGGAUUAGCUAGUAGGUGGGGUAACGGCUCACCUAGGCGACGAUCCCUAGCUGGUCUGAGAGGAUGACCAGCCACACUGGAACUGAGACACGGUCCAGACUCCUACGGGAGGCAGCAGUGGGGAAUAUUGCACAAUGGGCGCAAGCCUGAUGCAGCCAUGCCGCGUGUAUGAAGAAGGCCUUCGGGUUGUAAAGUACUUUCAGUGGGGAGGAAGGCGAAGAGGUUAAUAACCUUUUCGAUUGACGUUACCCGCAGAAGAAGCACCGGCUAACUCCGUGCCAGCAGCCGCGGUAAUACGGAGGGUGCAAGCGUUAAUCGGAAUUACUGGGCGUAAAGCGCACGCAGGCGGUCUGUCAAGUCGGAUGUGAAAUCCCCGGGCUCAACCUGGGAACUGCAUUCGAAACUGGCAGGCUAGAGUCUUGUAGAGGGGGGUAGAAUUCCAGGU